This 329-nucleotide unclassified non-coding RNA is filed under the name soil metagenome. Its description in RNAcentral is "partial contains 5.8S ribosomal RNA, internal transcribed spacer 2, and large subunit ribosomal RNA". The stretch from base 1 to 120 matches the Rfam family "5.8S ribosomal RNA", at positions 35 to 154 of the family's 154-position model. The record is from RNAcentral.
GAUGAAGAACGUAGCGAAAUGCGAUAAGUAAUGCGAAUUGCAGAAUUCAGUGAAUCAUCGAAUCUUUGAACGCACAUUGCGCCCCUUGGUAUCCCGAGGGGCAUGCCUGUUCGAGCGUCAUUUCACCACUCAAGCCUGGCUUGGUGUUGGGCGACGUCCCCUUUGGGGACGCGCCUCGAAACGCUCGGCGGCGUGGCACCGGCUUUAAGCGUAGCAGAAUCUUUCGCUUUGGAAGUCGGGGCCCCGUCUGCCGGAAGACCUACUCGCAAGGUUGACCUCGGAUCAGGCAGGGAUACCCGCUGAACUUAAGCAUAUCAAUAAGCGGAGGA